AUGUUUUGUGCACUGAAUGCUGAUUGGUUGAGUGUUUGGAGCAUUAAAUGCUGACUGAGGAAUGUUUCGUGAUUGGUAGGGCGUCUCACCUUGGUCUCACAGUUCUGAAACAUCUCCAAAGCUUCUUCCACCUGAGUCUUCUCAUAACCCAGCUGACACAGACGGUCACAUGACAUCAGAGUUUGAACACAGUCUGGGAUCUUAAGUUCAGGAGCUGUGACCGGCUCUUUCUGACCCAACAGAGCAACAUUAAAUGGAACCUCAUCCAGGCUGGUAAUACUGAUGACAUGCACAGACAAUUUAAGUUGGUGUAUGUGGCCCUGCAGCUGCUGGAUGUAGGAGAUUGUGAGUUGGUGUAAGUGAUUCCCUCUUCCUCUCGCUCUGCGUGCCUGCUGCUGUUUGAGGCGGGCGAUGCUGGGGGCGGACAGGAGGCAGG
Long non-coding RNA from Carassius carassius (crucian carp), 436 nucleotides. RefSeq lists it as uncharacterized. The record is from RefSeq and is a predicted model, not a curated record. The transcript is spliced from 3 exons. NCBI's taxonomy places the organism in Eukaryota, Metazoa, Chordata, Actinopteri, Cypriniformes, Cyprinidae.